RNAcentral lists this transfer RNA (63 nucleotides) under Bulla sp. TLT-2006. Its description in RNAcentral is "tRNA-Pro". Lineage: Eukaryota; Metazoa; Mollusca; Gastropoda; Cephalaspidea; Bullidae. The record is from RNAcentral.
UCAAGAACAGUCCUUCGGACGCUAACUUUGGGAGUUAGAGAGUGACGCCUAGUCAUUUUUGAA